AAAUGCGAUAAGUAGUGUGAAUUGCAGAAUUUAGCGAAUCAUCGAAUCUUUGAACGCACAUUGCGCCCCUUGGUAUUCCAUGGGGCAUGCCUGUUCGAGCGUCAUUUCAACCCUCAAGCACUGCUUGGUGUUGGGCGUUUGUCCCGCCUACGCGCGUGGACUCGCCUCAAAGUCAUUGGCGGCUGUUCCCCUUCGGCUCGUAAGCGCAGCACAGUCGGCGCCCGGAGCUCUGGUGGGAUGGCGUCCAGCAAGCUAUAUUUUCAGGCUUGACCUCGGAUCAGGUAUGGAUACCUGCUGAACUUAAGC
RNAcentral lists this unclassified non-coding RNA (306 nucleotides) under plant metagenome. Its description in RNAcentral is "partial contains 5.8S ribosomal RNA, internal transcribed spacer 2, and large subunit ribosomal RNA". The stretch from base 1 to 104 matches the Rfam family "5.8S ribosomal RNA", at positions 51 to 154 of the family's 154-position model. The record is from RNAcentral.